Molecule: long non-coding RNA, 757 nt
Filed under: Homo sapiens (human)
Lineage: Eukaryota; Metazoa; Chordata; Mammalia; Primates; Hominidae
Description: HSALNT0405117
Source: RNAcentral
CUGAGUCAGCUCAUAGGAGGCCACGGAUCCUACAGGAGAGAAAACGGGAGAGAAAAGGCUUGAAACUGAGGAGCUGAACUCCAAGUAGUAUGAUGUCCUGCCCAUGUGGCCAUUCCUUGUCCUGCGUGGAGAUGGCCAGGGACUGACUUACAAUGGCGACUGAGGGAUUAUUCUGAGAUCUAAGGUCCCUGAUUCCCUGGUCUGCAGACUGCUGGUGCCAAUGGAGGAAAUUUUUCUCUUCUCUUUGUGACUCAUGCCUGCCUCAAUACCAGGACCAGCGUACAGUGGUGACUCCUGCACCAAAGUCAGAGACAGAAGAACAUCCACCCAUCAAAUGUUAAUCCAGACCCACUGUGGUCUGGGACACGUUCCAUGCGGUGAAUUCAGCAGGAACAAGACACAGCCUUCUUGAAAUACAGGACCUAGGAACACAAAAUCUGCAAACUGCACUUAACACAAAAGGGAAGGGGCUGAGAUGGGGAGGAACAAUUCCAAGGUCACUUGGCAAGGAGAGAGAAAAGGAAGACGAGAAAUGCUCUGGACCUGUAACAGUAAGUCUUCUGAGUGUCCUGGGACCAGCCUGCCAGGGAGGGCAUGGGAAAAUCCUCAGCCCAAAUUCUCAGCCCAAAUCCCUCCCUAUGGAGACGGCAUCUCAGUCAGCUCUUUUAGCUGCCUGUAGGGGGCGCGCCUGCCACACUCUGGGUUGAAAGGGAGAGAAAAGACGGUUGAUUCCCAGCUCAGGAACCAAGCUGUCUAG